Molecule: long non-coding RNA, 42636 nt
Filed under: Triticum aestivum (bread wheat)
Lineage: Eukaryota; Viridiplantae; Streptophyta; Magnoliopsida; Poales; Poaceae
Description: long non-coding RNA (TAES_LNC020222)
Rfam family: MIR1120/MIR1122 microRNA precursor family (bases 1331-1417)
Source: RNAcentral
CAGGUGUACCUGAAACAUGUAGGCAGGAAGUCUCCAUCAACCGCUUUUUCAGCAGGAUACAGAGGCAAUACAGGAGAACCCAGAGGAAGGCCGCACUGAUCAGCUGCUCCGACAUCAGAAACGCAAUUGCUAACUCCAUGCUUUCUACCGUCCUGCUGAAACUAGUUAGAGUUAGUGUUGGUUAUCUUACUGUUGUGUUACCUAGUAUUAGGCUAGAGCGAGGAGUUGCCUGUAAGCCUUCUCCUUGUCCUUCUCCUUGUCCUUCUCUUCUUGAUCUAGACAUGGCUGGUACUACUACUCCUGCCAUUGGUCUUGACAACGAAGCACUGCCUUCUACCGAGCUUUUGGGGGAUUUCGUCGGCUUCGAUGAUAGUGACAGCGCUACGGAUGAGGGCAAUGAAUCCGCCUUUGAUGGCAGUGCUACUCAGGAUGAGAAUAAAGAGAUGUCGCUUGACAGGGAUUUGUGGGCGCUUCUUGAUAACCCACAAGGCAGCUCUAAGAAAAUAGACAAUAUGAUCGAGGCCAACUUAUCGGACUUUUCAGGUCAAGACAAGUAUUGCAGCCCAGCUGUUAACUAUUCUGGAGUAAGCAGGAGGUUCCAUGGAGGUAGCAAGGUUCUCUGAGCUUGCUGUAAGUGAAUAUUAGUUGUAUUAGUGGCUAGUGUUUGCCUGCCUAAAUGUCUAAAUAACAACUGUGUUAGUAUUUGCACGUAUGAAAACCGUACUCGGCGUAUCUACUGUGGCAGUGGCAUGGAAGUAUGUAACUAAUGUACCUCGUUCAUGGUGAACUACGGUUGUUUUAUGUGAAUAUAAUUAGCUUUCGUGCCAUUGGUUGGCUGAUUGCUUAAGCCGCUUCGAAGUUCUAUGGCUUUGUUGUGGCUUGUGAGGAACUGAGCCUGGCUGCAAAUUAAAGAGCAUGAUUAUAAUAUGUUCGCCAAUAUUCAAUGUUUCUUCUUCUUAAUCUUCUUAUAUAAAAAGAGGGAGUUGUGAAGAUCCAACAUAUCUCAGUUCAACCAUGUCACUCCAAUGGUCUAUGUUCCUUCCAUGUUUAGCGCUAAUCAUGUUUAGUACUCAACACGGUUAGGGCACUCCCCUGAAUACUUACUUUCGAAAGAAAAACUCCCUCCCAAACGCUUAAUAGUACAUCUGAGGAGCCAUACCAAGUUUUGGUUAUUGCCAAAACUAUUAGCUUGAAAUGGAAACCAACACCAACACAUAUGCACACAAUACAAGUUUGGAUUAUAUUUUCAAAAUCAUUUGUCUAGCAACCAUGGGAUAUAGGGUGUUGGCAUGGAAACUACUAUAUCGACAGCUUCAAAUUAUUUUCAAAACUACUCCCUCUAUAAACUAAUAUAAGAGUGUUUAGAUCACUAAAGUAGUAAUCUAAACGCUCUUAUAUUAGUUUACGGAGGGAGUACUAGCUUAAAAUAAAAAUCAACACCAAUACAUCUCCUUGAGAGGAAACUUCGGAUUAUUUCCAAAAUCACUUGUGUAGCAGCGACUGGACAUGCAUAACAUCACCGGCUAUGUGCACAUUCGAUGCAGCAAAACCAAUAUCACACGCGUGACACGACGAUCAUUGCUUGUGUACCGCAGCAUGAUCACGGCAAGAUUCGAGUAGGGCAAGGCAGCGAGGGUUACAUCCUCCAUGGUUAUCAAACUUCGUCAUUUUUCUUUAUGAGCGGAGGCUGAUUUUGCAGAAUAUACAAGCAGGAAGCGCUCUUAUCCUCGCCAUGCCACACCCACGUUUCCCUCAGCUAGCAACCCGGCAGCGGCCGCCAAGGAUGAUGGAGCCUACUGAUCACCCAUGAUGACAAUUGUGGCUGGUCCAAAGAAGGCACAAUCAAGCAACACAUCGUCCUCGGAACCUAUAGAAGCAAACUCAGCCAAUAGCAAUUACCACAUUAUUACACCUCUUUAUCAAUUAUGUUAGAUUAGUAUCCUAUUAGACAUUUUGUUGAUUCUAUUGAAAUUAUCACCCCCUAACCAGGAUAGGUGAGGAAAUUCCUUUCUACGGUUACACAUGCGUUUGCACAUGCCCAAUCACUAGUUGUUGGUAGUCACCGACUCAUGAGAUUCUCAUCAUGCUGUUGAGUUAAGCCUAACCAAACACCCACCAAAUAAAAAAAUUAGAAACACCAUUCUAUUACAUAGGAGCGCAAAUGAGUCCAAUUUAGAGCUCCUACCAACACAAUUGUCAAGCUGAAACAACACGAAACACGGUACAUGGCAGAAAGAUAACAGAGAUACUGUCGGCUAUGACUCCUCAUGUCUUCUUCUGUGUCGUUUAUUUAAAACAUGUGCUUUAUGAUCUGGGAGUACUCACGAUUUGGUCACAAAGCAUGGCCCCGUACCAUACCGUCACAAAUUAGAUUAGUCUUUUACUUGCGGGGGGGAAACUAGAUCGCUUUUAAAGCCUAACGACCCAUGAAAUGGAAAAGCAGGCUCCUAUGCAAAACAGUUACACCUAGCGAAGACCCCUACUCCUCUAUUCACCACCUCCAGGUCCAGGAGAUGGCGAAGCAGCCACAGAGACGGACCAAGGCCAAUGGACUUGUACCAUUCAUCAUUUGACUUGUAAGGCUGAAGUGUCACUAUAAAAGCUUGCUCGAGUUGUUGAUCCACGGCCUCCUAUAUGUCAUUGCAAUUUAGAAAUAGUUCUCCUGAUACCUCUCAAGCCUCAAGGUUCUUGUUUCUCCCCCCUUGCCCAUUGCUAUAGCGAUGUAUUACAAAACUCAGAUGUCCAGAAUCCUCAAAAUGUGUAUACAUGUCUUGGCUUGCAUAUUUAUAGAUGUGAAUGACUAGAGAAAAUCGUGCCUAUAUUUAUUGUAUGAUCAUGAGACAAUCACGAAAAUAAAUGAAUUCAAUGCUUGGUUGGCCUUAUAUGCUACCCAUAUUUAAUAUCAAGUGAUAUACUAGUAAUACUAGUACUUCCAUUUGAUGGAAAAGUGAGAGAAAUUCAAACUUCAACAAACACAUGCAUAUAUCCAUAACAUAUUUACACAUCGAUCUGACAUUGUUGUCAGAUUACAACACAUGCAUAUUUCGAGGACUUCAUUACACAUUGAUCAAACAUUGUUAUCAGAUAUUCGUACCAAAAUCAUGAAUAGUCAGCCUUAUCUUUUUGUGAUAACUACAUAGACAUGUAUCACACAAAGAUGUAACUAAGGAUGCAUACCGAUACAUCAUAGAGGAGCAACUUCUUACCUUAACAUUUUGUGUUAGUCCCAUAUGCAUUUGUCAUUAACCAGCUAUAGGUAAAUCAAUUGCCACACACAUAUAUGUAAUAGUUUCCCGUACACAUGAAGCAUGGAUGCUAGCUCAUAUAUUCAGCCUAAGUCAGUCUUAGAGGGAACUAGCAUGAUCUUAUAAUUAGAGCAUACAAGAACCAACUAUUGCUUGAUCCACAUAGUAUAUGCUACUCCAUAUUUAAUACAAAGUGAUAUACUAAUAUGUUCGUUUGACCAAAAGAUGAAAGAAAUUUCGGACUUGAGGCAACGCAUGCAUAUCCAGAAUUUAUUUGCACAUCGAUCUAAUAUUAUUGUCAGAUUACAGCACACACAUAUUUCUAGGACGUAACAUUUGCAUGCCUAGCUUGUAGUUUUGAUUUAUGUGUGCCUUACUGGAUCGAGGAUCAAUUUGUAGUGGCUUCGAAAAGCGAGGAACUCAGUAUCAUAGCUGAAUGUUAUGCAUCUUUUUUGUACAAUACUACCAUGGGAAAGCAUUGAUAUGUACCCCUCCGUUUCAAAUUACUCGUCGCAGAAAUGGAUGUAUCUAGAACUAAAAUAUAUCUAGAUACAUCCAUACCCACGACAAGUAAUUCGGAACGGAGGGAGUAGCAUUUGGCUCUUGUUGAACGAAAUGACUAGAGUUGUUUCUUGUAAGCGGUUGGUUAAUGGUAAAUAUGCACUUGUGUUUACGUAAAUGAUGAUCUUUGAUUUGUAUGCACUGAAUAUUAAGUAACACCCGUCUUCCGCCAGCGGCCCCUCUCUCCUCCCUCCAACCCGGCGCUCGCCUCCGCCUCCGCCUGCGCCUCCACGCGCGCGCGCCAUCCGUCGCCUCGCGGCCUCGCCUCCGAGGCCACUACACCAGCGGCCAUCCGAUUCAUGCGGCACGCGGCUAGGAGAGCUGCGGCCACGCUGCUAUCGCCGUCGACUCUCCCGCCUCCCUCCUCCGCGCCGCUAUCGUCGCCGGCUCCCUCCUCCGCGCCGCUCCUCCAGCGACCCCAGUCCCUUCGCGCAAGAGCGCCCGAGGCAGGACUGGCCCGGACUCCCCGCGAGCGCGUCCCCGUUCCGAGCCCCUGCGUGAGAGGAUCCCACUUCCACGAUGCACGCGGGGUGCUCGACGGAACGCCUACGAGGAGCGCGGCCGCGUGGACGGCGGCCAUCGCUGGCUGCGCGCGCACCGGACGGCACGCGGACGGCAUGGGCGCGUUCGCGGAGAUGCUCGCCGAGGGCGGAGCCGCGCCGAACGCGUUUGUUCUCGCGGCCGUCCUCAGGUGCUGCUCGGGGCUCGGCGACGUGGCGUCAGGCAAGCGCAUCCAUGGGUGGCUGCUGAGGAACGGGGUGCAUCUGGACCGGGUGCUGUGCAAUGCCGUUAUCGAUAUGUACGCCAAGUGUGGGGACUGCGAGCGGGCUAAGCGGGCAUUCAGAGCAAUGGCCGAGGUCGACGCCGUCUCCUGGAACAUCGUGAUCAGCGCGUGUCUGCAGAGCGGCGACGUUCGUGGGGCGAUGCAGCUGUUUGAUGACUCGCCGGUGCGAGACACUUCGAGCUGGAACACAGUCAUCAGCGGCUUGAUGCGGAAUGGGUGCGCUGCCAAGGCGCUGGACCGCCUGUAUCAUAUGGCACGAGCUGGAGUGGAGUUUAAUCACUACACAUACUCCACGGCACUUGCCUUGGCUGGCAUGCUUUCUUUGAUGGACCUCGGCCUGCAGCUCCAUGGCCGUGUGCUGACAGCUGCACUGGAGACUGACGCAUUUGUUCGGAGCUCUCUCAUGGACAUGUACUGCAAGUGCGGCUCAAUGAACGCUGCUGCGUUGAUCUUUGAUAGAUGGUCGCAUCUUACCGGUGACGUGAAAUUUGCAUGGAGCACAAUGGUCGCUGGAUACGUCCAGAAUGGCAGGGAGGAAGAAGCUUUCGAGUUCUUCCGGUUGAUGCUGCGUCAAGGGGUUGCUGCAGAUCAGUUCACCCUCACCAGUGCGGUUGCAGCGUGUGCAAAUGCAGGGAUGGUUGAGCAAGGCAGGCAAGUGCACGGGUGCGUCGAGAAGCUAGGGCACAGUUUUGAUGCACCAUUGGCAUCUAUCAUCGUCGACAUGUAUGCUAAGUGUGGCAACCUUGACGACGCUUGCAGGAUGUUUGACAUACCUCCCACGAAGAACGUUGCUCUCUGGACUUCAAUGCUGUGCUCCUAUGCGUCCCAUGGGAAAGGUAGGAUGGCCAUAGAACUCUUCAACAGAAUGAUUGCAGAAAAGAUCAAGCCAAAUGAGGUCACCCUUGUCGGUGUUCUAUCUGCCUGUAGCCACGGCAGAUUGGUCAGUGAAGGAGAGCACUUCUUCAAGCUAAUGCAAGAAGAGUAUGGAAUUGUUCCAAGCAUCGAACAUUACAAUUGCAUGGUUGAUCUUUAUGGUCGAGCUGGACUGCUAGACAAAGCAAAUAAUUUCAUCAACGAAAACAAGAUUAAGCAUGAAUCUAUUGUUUGGAAGACAUUACUGUCAGCUUGUCGGGUUCACAAGGACAUGGAGCACGCAAAACUUGCUUCUGAAAGUUUGAUUCAACUGGAGCAAUGUGAUGCUGGAUCAUAUGUUAUGCUGUCAAACAUGUAUGCCACUCACAGCAAAUGGCGUGACACUUCGAAGCUCAGAAGUUUGAUGCGGGAAAGGGGGGUUCGAAAGCAACCCGGACAAUCUUGGAUCCAUCUGAAGAACAUUGUGCAUACUUUUGUCGCAGGGGACACGGCGCACCCGAGAUCAUCUGAAAUUUAUACCUGCUUGGCAAAGUUGAUGGAGAGAAUAAAGGAACUGGGGUACACCAGUAGAAUUGAUCUUGUUGCUCAUGAUGUGGAGGAGGAACAAAGGGAGACAGUUCUGAGGUUCCACAGUGAGAAGCUUGCCAUGGCGUUUGGGAUCAUCAGCACUCCCAAUGGGACUCCGCUUCGAAUCUUCAAGAACCUGCGUAUUUGUGUGGACUGCCAUGAAGCAAUCAAGUAUGUAAGCCGAGCCACAGAUAGGGAGAUCGUUGUGCGAGAUUUGUACCGGUUUCAUCAUUUCAAGGAUGCAAGGUGUUCUUGUGAGGAUUUCUGGUGAAAGAUUUACCUCAACAAUUUUGGUGGCAAAUUUUUCACACGUGGGUCGAAGUUUUUCCUCCUUCUCCUCUUCCCGCACCCGCACAUUUGCUCCUCUGCACACUCGGUUGUUGCCGCCAGCACCUUUCAACAACGCACCUCGUCAUCCUGGUCGCCACCUUUGAACUCCGCCCCUUCUUUGUAAUGGUGCCCAUGGUGAGCGGGCGGUCGUUAUGUUACGCGGAGGGCAUCAUGAUCUGAUGGGUGACAACGGGGGUCCUCGCUGACCAGCUACGGCGAUGGCAGCAUUGGCACUGCUCCGACUACUUUGUGUCGUCCUUCCUGGUCGCGUGGCUUCUUCAUGGCAGGAGCAGUGGGAGGUGGACAUGCGGUUGGUUGAAGGUAGGAGAGCGAAGGUUGAGGAAGGUGCGGUGAGCUUCAUGUCAACCAGAGAAGGGACAGAAGGGCGCGAUGGGGUCGAAGGAGUGCGAAGUGGUGGUGAAGGCCAAAUCCGACGUGCAGAGGCCGGGACAGUGCAAUUGGAACCAUGGCGAUCGGAGAAGGGCAGCCCUAGGAAGGCAGCGGCGACUGUGCACGGAAGAGCGGGCGAAGUCGAAUGCGAUUGGUAGGACACGUCCUAUCCGCCAAGGGUACAAAAACAGUGUCAGCCCUUUCUUGUUCUAAAUUUUUUAUAAUCUGGAACUCCUGUAAAGAUUAUAUCACUCCCGGGGAAGAUUUUUUUUUUUUUUUUGAGGAUCUUGGUGUCCAUUAAGAUGGAACAAUGAAGCGACCUUUAAGAUCGGAGAUGCAUGACUAAACGGCCCAUGCAAAUAGUGGAGGGACACAAGUAGCUCCAGCAGACUUUGGCAAAUUUUUGCAGUUAAAAAAAGCAAAAAAUGCUACACCUACGUAAAAGCUGUGCUCUUAACGUUUUUUUUUUUGGAUGUGCUCUUUACGUAAUAUUCCUACUCCGUCCAUAUAUAUAAGGCCUAAUGUGUUUUCCGAGAAUGCCUUUGACUAUUGAUAAGAAGGAUAGUAUAUAAGAUGUAUAAUCUGAAAAUUAUAACAUUGAAAACUCCUUUCACAUACGAAUUUGACGGUAUGCUUUGUGUAUCUUACAUGUCAUAUGUUAUUACUCUGAGAUAUGGAUAAAGGGAGUAACUAUCCUCUCCACGAUGCCUCCUAUUUAGCGCGGUUCCCACUGGCGAACAAGCCAAUGCGCACCGCGCACCCUUUUGGGACGUCCCUUCUUUUUUUGCCUCAUUUUCAAGCCUUAUUAUUAUUAUUUUAAAAUAAUACGAAAUUUCAUAAAAAUCAAAAUUUGUAGAAAAAAUAUGAAUUAUGAAAGAAUGUUCAUGGACUGAAAAAAUGUUGGCAUGUUCAAAAAUUGUUCUCGGUUUGAAAAAAGAAAAUGUUCAGGAAAUCAAAUGUUGUUCAUGAUUGUGAAAAAAAUGCUUUCAAAUUAAAAAAAUGAUUGCUGAUUCAAAAAAGUCAUUAAUUCAAAAAAAAAUCCAUGCAUCUUAGAAAUGAUCACUGAUUCAAAAAAUGUUCACGAGUUUCAAAACAAUGGUCACAAUUUCGAAAGUUAUUUGUGAAUUUCCAAAAAUUGUUAACAAACUCAAAACUGUUCACGAAUUAAAAAAAUGUUUGCUAAUUUGUAUAAAAUUGUUGAUGUAUUCGAAACUGUUUGUGAUUUCAUAAAAUUGUUUGGGAAAUAAAAAAGUGUUUGUGAAUUUGAAAUAAUGUUCAUGAAUUCAAACUAUGUUCACAAAAUUCAAUAAAUGUUCAUUUUUCGGGUCUCAUGGCCGACGGCAGAUAGGGAACAGGCGCCGGCGGUCAUUUUAGUCUAUGUUUAGAGCGUGUUCUAGUUAAAAAAAUGUCUAAAUGUAAUGAAUUUGUUUUGUUUUAAAUGAAAAAUAUCUGGUUUUAUUAUGUAAAAUAAAUAUUUUGGAUUGUUUGAGUUUGAAUCAAAUUUGUUCAAUAUCAUUGAAUUUAAUUUGAAAUGUAACCCGGACAUACGCGGCUACCUUUAGAUGCGGGAGUAAAUUUGCAAGUUCCUGACAUAGCGCUGCCCAUGGACGCGUCGAGGUAUAGGAGGUCAGAUUAGUUGAGUCCGAUUGUACGUGCUCUACUGCUACGACCUCGGUCCGCUGUUUAUUUGACCCCUUGGUAUUUUAAGCUAUAUUUUAACCAUCUAUGGACUACUAUAAAAUAUAAAUUAUAUGCUAUAAAAAAUUAUAUUCUUGGAUCUAUAUUUGAAAGAGCUUUCCGACAAUGUAAUUUUUGUGACAUGUGGUUUACAUUUUGUUAGUUAAAUUUUUAGGUUAAACUAUAGCCCAACGUAAGAGAGCGCUAAUAAACACCCUUAGCGAACGCGGAACGAUGCGGGACGGGCCGCAGACAAUCAUGUUGUGCACUUUGCAUCCUGAAUGAGUUAAUCCGAAACUAGCAACUCAAAAAAAAAGUUAAUCCGAAACUAGCAACUCAAAAAAAAAAGUUAAUCCGAAACUAGCAACUCAAAAAAAAAGUUAAUCCGAAACUAGCCGUUGGGAGGGAAUGAGAAUCCACCCAUUGGCGGCCUCGUGCGCGCCCUCGUCUUCUUCCCCGCGCCCAUCUCUGCAGCGCCAGGAAUCGCUCGCGGGCGCGCCACAUUUAUGACACCACCACCGCACCACACUCCUCCCCCACCUUACCUACCUACCUACGAGCCCGCCCCUCCCCUCCCCUCGCCACCGCAGCGCCUCUCCCGGACUCCACCGCCACCCUGCCCCUGCUUCCAUCCGUGCACAGAGCUCCCGGCACCAUGCCGCUGCGGCCAGGCGGUAACCGCGCGGCCGCCCUGCUGCUCGUCCUGCACUGCUUCUGCUGCGCCCCGCUCCUCUUCCCUCCUCCGGCGGCCGCCGCCCACGGGCAUCAUCCGGCAGGGGACGGCGUCGUGAUCAGCGAGGCGGACCGGCAGGGCCUGCAGGCCAUCAAGGGGGACCUCGCCGACCCCCGCGGCUUCCUCCGCUCCUGGAACGCCACCGGCCUCGGCGGUGCCUGCUCGGGCGCCUGGACGGGCAUCAAGUGCGUCAACGGCAACGUCGUCGCCAUCACGCUCCCCUGGCGCGGCCUGGCGGGCACCCUCUCCGCGCGCGGGCUCGGCCAGCUCACCCGGCUCCGCCGCCUCAGCCUCCACGACAACGUCAUCGCCGGGGCCGUCCCCAGCUCGCUCGGCUUCCUCCCCGACCUCCGCGGCCUCUACCUCUUCAACAACCGCUUCUCCGGCGCCGUCCCGCCCGAGAUCGGCCGCUGCCUCGCGCUGCAGUCGUUCGACGCCAGCAGCAAUCUCCUCACCGGCGUCCUCCCGGCCUCGAUUGCCAACUCCACCAAGCUCAUCCGCCUCAACCUCAGCCGCAACGCCAUCUCCGGCGAGGUCCCCGCCGAGGUCGUCGGCUCCUCGUCGCUCCUCUUCCUCGACCUCUCGUACAACAAGCUCUCCGGCCGCAUCCCCGACUCUUUCGGGGGCGGAUCCAAGGCGCCGUCCUCGUCCUCGCGGAAGGAAGCCGUCACCGGGAGCUACCAGCUGGUCUUCCUCAGCCUCGCGCACAACUCGCUCGACGGGCCGGUGCCGGAGUCGCUCACCGGGCUCAGCAACCUGCAGGAGCUGGACCUGGCCGGCAACAACCUCAACGGCUCCAUCCCCGCCCGGCUGGGCUCGCUUCACGACCUCAAGACGCUUGACCUCUCAGGCAACGCACUCGCCGGAGAGAUCCCUGAGAGCCUCGCAAACCUCACCGCGACGCUCCACUCCUUCAACGUCUCCUACAACAACCUCUCCGGCGCGGUGCCGGCGUCGCUCGCCCACAAGUUUGGGCCCACCUCCUUCGCCGGUAACAUACUGCUCUGCGGCUACUCUGCUUCCUCGCCGCCCUGUCCCGUGUCUCCGUCUCCGGCGCCGGCAUCAACCUCGCAGGGGACAACCGGGCGCCACGGCCUCCGCAGGUUCAGCACCAAGGAGCUCGCACUGAUCAUCGCCGGGAUCGUGAUCGGCGUCCUCAUCUUGCUGUCGCUCUGCUGCCUCCUGCUCUGCUUACUGACAAGGAAGAAGAAGUCCAGCACUGGCACUGGAGCACGGAGCGGGAAGCAGUCGUCAAGCAAGGACGUUGCCGGCGCCGCUGCUGCAGCUGCCGGGCGAGGCGAGAAGCCGGGGGCGUCCGAGGCGGAGUCCGGCGGCGACGUGGGUGGCAAGCUGGUGCACUUCGACGGGCCGCUGGCGUUCACGGCCGACGACCUGCUGUGCGCCACCGCGGAGAUCAUGGGGAAGAGCACGUACGGCACGGUGUACAAGGCGACGCUGGAGGACGGCAGCCUGGUGGCCGUGAAGCGGCUGCGGGAGAAGAUCACCAAGGGGCAGAAGGAGUUCGAGGCCGAGGCGGCGGCGCUGGGCAAGGUCCGGCACCCCAACCUGCUCUCGCUCAGAGCCUACUACCUCGGCCCCAAGGGGGAGAAGCUGCUCGUCUUCGAUUACAUUCCCAAGGGCAGCCUCUCCGCCUUCUUGCACGGUGAGAUUCCCUCCUUGAAAAUUCUUCAUCCAUUGAAGCUGGGUUCUUCAGCUCUGUGGUUCUGACAUUUGGUUGGUUCAUGGCGUUGGUUCAGCUCGAGCUCCCAACACGCCGGUGGACUGGGCGACGCGGAUGGCGAUCGCCAAGGGGACGGCCCGCGGGCUCGCCUACCUCCACGACGACAUGAACAUCCUCCACGGCAACCUCACCGGCAGCAACGUGCUCCUCGACGACGACUCCAGCCCCAGGAUCGCCGACAUCGGCCUGUCCCGCCUCAUGACGGCCGCCGCCAACUCGAGCGUGCUCGCCGCGGCGGGCGCGCUGGGGUACCGCGCGCCGGAGCUGUCCAAGCUCAAGAAGGCCAGCGGCAAGACGGACGUGUACAGCCUCGGCGUCAUCAUCCUGGAGCUGCUCACCGGCAAGUCCCCCGCCGACACGACCAACGGCAUGGACCUGCCGCAGUGGGUGGGGUCCAUCGUGAAGGAGGAGUGGACCAACGAGGUGUUCGACCUGGAGCUGAUGCGGGACACGGCCGCCGGCCCGGAGGGGGACGAGCUCAUGGACACGCUCAAGCUCGCGCUGCAGUGCGUCGAGGCCUCGCCGUCGGCCCGGCCCGAGGCGCGGGAGGUGCUGCGGCAGCUCGAGGAGAUCCGGCCCGGGCCAAGCGAGGAAGGCCAUGUUGCUUCUGCAAGCAACGAGUAGAGGGAGUGAACUAGAGAGGAAAGAAGAUUGUUACAUUGAGGUUUAGUUUUUUUUUUUUUGAUAAUUCUUUGGUUCAUUUGAUUUGAAAAUCUAGUAUAUUUAUAAGCUGAAGGGAUUGUCCUUCUUUUUCAUUUUCUAUAGUUUGUAUAGGCAAAUACGUAUUAUUUGCACCACUAGAAUCUCUGUCAGGAAUUCCAAACCCAUAUAAACAUUAUUGAUUUUUCACAAGCUGUUGAGCACAUUCUGGUUCUGAAUUUCUUACAGCCUCCCUCGUCGUGUAAUUCAGAAUUUCAAACUGAACUUUUGAUAUAUGUUUAAAAGCGGUUCCAGUAAACCUUAAAUAGUGGCUUCCAGUAACUUGGAUUAAUAAAGAGUAACAGCAUAUACAGGUAUGGAUAAUCAAUCUCCAGAUAUACCAACCGCCAAGGAAGAAUGCUCACGACAAAUAAUCCCGUUUGCAGUAAGAAAGAAGUCUAGCAUGCCAAAAUUCUCUCCCAGAUUGUUUACCAAUCCAAUCUCUGAACUUCCCUCUUAUAUAAGCAAUUUAUAAGAGGCAUAUUAGAGAUCAGUUUACAAACAGAGUGGUUAUAUAUAUGUUUAAAUAUCAUACUGAUGUUGUUGUGCAUUCAGACAUACUACCAUACUAUCUCAAGGCCAAACAUAUACAUGGAAUACUUACUUCAUCAGUUGAACUUCGCCCUUGCUGUUUAAAUGAUGAACUCACUCUAGUUUGCCCUUCGGCCAGAAAACCACAUGGAGAUGCCGCCCCAAUCUCACCUUCAGUCAGAAAAAAACACUGGGCCUGAACCUCGCCUUCAGUGAGAAAACGAAAAUACGGGGUCUGAAUUGAACUCAAUUUUAUUCAAUAGAAGUGAAAAGUCCAUUAGUGAUUUAAGCGUCAAAGGUUGUGCCUUCCAUCCCAUGGCUGGACUUGGUUGCUUGAGAAAGUUUGUCUUGUGUGAAAACUUUCGAAUUGUCUCUAAUUCGCUCUUCCAAAUUCUGGCCACUAAUUUUCAGACCAUUUCGAGCUAGACUACCCAGCCCUCUCUCAUCUCAAAGCAAAGCUCAGACUCUGCUACUAUUAUCACUUCCCUAGCCAAGCCAUACUGCUUCAGGUCCUGGAGCUGGAGGUAUUGGAAACUCAAGUGCUUCAAAAAGAGGAAAUCUUGAAAAAGGUUUCUGCUUAGCUCUUGUUGCUUUAUCCUUUGAACCAAUGAAAACACGAAAAUAUUUCUUUGCCUUUUUUUUGUAUAGCAGUUUUCAGCUUCAGUCCAGGGCGACAAUUGCACUAUAUUAUUAUGAUUAUUCAUGUUAUUCAAGUUGUGCAAGUGAAAAGGCAAUAAUGACGAAUACUUAAUGAAGUGGCGGCGGCAGAGAAAGCUGGUAUGAUCAUGCUUUGCUUUGUUUAUGUACAUAUGUUUAUCUGCGUGAUUGCUUUAUGGUGUUGUAUGAUAGUCAUCUGGUGCAUAACGAGAGUUUGAUGAUUCAUGCUUCCUCAUAUUGAGUUCAAUUAACUAGGAGUAUAUAAUGAGUUAUCUUGGAUGUUAACAUGCAUUAAAUUGUGUGACAUAAUAUGGUAUGUUACCAUGAUAUUUCUCUUCUGAAGCAAUCAGGUGGCUUAACUUGGCACAUGUUCACACAUAAUUGAUAGAUAUCAAUUCAGCAUGAAUGUGUUAUGACUUUAGAAUGUAUUAUCAUGUUUAUGUUGCCGCUUAAUGCUUACAUAUUCAGAAUGCAUGAUUAUGAUCGCUAUGCUCUCUAGUUGGCUGCUUCUCGAUCUAUUACUAGCCUUUGCAUGUAAUAAGCAUGAAUUCUGCUUGUGCAUCCUAAUCCUUGAGUCGAGAUUUUCAUAAGAGUCCACCAUACCUAUCAGUCAUGACUGAGGAAGGUCAUUCAAAGUUAAUUAUCAUCGCCACGCCCAAAAAUCUUUCGUUGUUCAAGUUCUUAAAGAAGGAAGUAAUUAGUUUUCUAUUUUCUUUGUAAUGGAUGUAAAUAAGCAAAUAAAAUAUAUCCAACUAUUGCAUAAAGAAAGGGAAUCAAAUAAAUUCAAAGUGCAAAGCGUCAAGUGGCCACUAUAUAGAGAACGAGAAUAGACAUGUCUUUAUGUUCCUUCAAAUUUUGAAAGCAACUCUCGAAUAAGGCAUCAAAAGUUUGCCACUAACAAAAAUAAAGCACACGGCAAUCCCUGCUUUCCUCUGGAAAAAUGACCUACCCAUUUACUUUUAUGUUGUGUCAUUACCUUCCUUGAGCACCAACAUAGAGGGCAUAGUUAUCAUUCUUAACAUAACAUACAUUUUGUCCAGGAAAUAUUAGGUAAUAUAUGUUGGAAAUACGAGCAAUUUACCAAAUGAUUUUAUUGACAGAAAUACUAGAUAAAGUGCUACCUCUUGAGCACUGCGUUGGUUUUCCCCGAAGAGGAAGGGAUGAUGCAGCAAAGUAGCGUAAGUAUUUCCCUCAGUUUUUGAGAACCAAGGUAUCAAUCCAGUAGGAGGCUACGCGUGAGUUCCUCGUACCUGCACAAAACAAAUAAACCUCGCAACCAACGCGAAUAGGGGUUGUCAAUCCCUACACGGCCACUUAUGAGAGUGAGAUCGGAUAGAUAUGAUAAGAUAAUUUUUUUGGUAUUUUUGUGAUAAAGAUGCAAAGUAAAAUAAAGACAAAGGAAAAAAGCAAAGGAAAUAACUAAGUAGUAGGAGAUUAAUAUGAUAAAGAUAGACCCGGGGGCCAUAGGUUUCACUAGUGGCUUCUCUCGAGAGCAUAAGUAUUCUACGGUGGGUGAACAAAUUACUGUUAAGCAAUUGACAUAAUUGAGCAUAGUUAUGAGAAUAUCUAGGUAUGAUCAUGUAUAUAGGCAUCAUGUCCGAGACAAGUAGACCGACUCCUGCCUGCAUCUACUACUAUUACUCCACUCAUCGACUGCUAUCCAGCAUGCAUCUAGAGUAUUAAGUUAAAAAUAGAGUAACGCCUUAAGCAAGAUGACAUGAAGUAGAGGGAUAGACUCAUGCAAUAUUAUGAAAACCCCAUCUUGUUAUCCUCGAUGACAACAAUACAAUACGUGCCUUGCUGCCCCUACUGUCACUGGUAAAAGACACCGCAAGAUUGAACCCAAAACUAAGCACUUCUCCCAUUGCAAGAAAGAUCAAUCUAGUAGGUCAAACCAAACUGAUAAUUCGAAGAGACUUGCAAAGAUAACCAAUCAUACAUAAAAGAAUUCAAAGGAGAUUCAAAUAUUGUUUAUAGAUAGACUUGAUCAUAAACCCACAAUUCGUCGGUCACAACAAACACACCGCAAAAAGAAGAUUGUAUCGAAUAGUUCUCCACAAGAGAGGGGGGAACAUUGUAUUGAGAUCCAAAAAGAGAGAAAGAAGCCAUCUAGCUAAUAACUAUGGACCCGUAGGUCUGAGGUAAACUACUCACACUUCAUCGGAGGGGCUAUGGUGUUGAUGUAGAAGCCCUCCGUGAUCGAUGCCCCCUCCGGCGGAGCUCCGGAACAUACCCCAAGAUGGGUCUCGUGGAUACAGAAAGUUGUAGCAGUGGAAUUAGGUUUUUGGCUCCGUAUCUGAUCGUUUAGGGGUACGUAUGUAUAUAUAAGAGGAAGGAGUACGUCGGUGGAGCAACAGGGGGCCCACGAGGGUGGAGGGCGCGCCUGGGAGGGGGGGGUAGGCGCGCCCCCUACCUCGUGGCCUCCUCUUUUGUGUCUUGACGUAGGGUCCAAGUCUCUUGGGUCUUGUUCGUUGAGAAAAUCACGUUCCCGAAGGUUUCAUUCCGUUUGGACUCCGUUUGAUAUUCCUUUUCUUCGAAACACUAAAACAGGCAAAAAACAACAAUUCUUGGUUGGGCCUCCGGUUAAUAGCUUAGUCCUAAAAAUAAUAUAAAAGUGGAUAAUAAAGCCCAAUAAUGUCCAAAACAGUAGAUAAUAUAGCAUGGAGCAAUCAAAAAUUAUAGAUACGUUGGAGACGUAUCAAGCAUCCCCAAGCUUAAUUCCUGCUCGUCCUCGAGUAGGUAAAUGAUAAAAACAGAAUUUUUGAUGCGGAGUGCUACUUGGCAUAAUUUUAAUGUAAUUCUUCUUAAUUGUGGUAUGAAUAUUCAAAUCCGAAAGAUUCAAGACAAAAGUUUAAUAUUGACAUAAAAAUAAUAAUACUUCAAGUAUACUAACAAAGCAAUUAUGUCUUCUCAAAAUAACAUGGCCAAAGAAAGUUAUCCUUACAAAAUCAUAUAGUCUGGCUAUGCUCCAUCUUCACCACACAAAAUAUUUAAAUCAUGCACAGCCCCGAUGACAAGCCAAGCAAUUGUUUCAUACUUUUGGUGUUCUCUAACUUUUUCAAUCUUCACGCAAUACAUGAGCGUGAGCCAUAGACAUAGCAUUAUAUGUGGAAUAGAAUGGUGGUUGUGGAGAAGAUAAAAAGGGAGAAGAUAGUCUCACAUCAACUAGACGUAUCAACGGGCUAUGGAGAUGCCCAUCAAUAGAUAUCAAUGUGAGUGAGUAGGGAUUGCCAUGCAAUGGAUGCACUAGAGCUAUAUAUAAGUAUAUGAAAGCUCAAAAAGAAAUUAAGUGGGUGUGCAUCCAACUCGCUUGCUCAUGAAGACCUAGGGCAUUUUAAGGAAGCCCAUCAUUGGAAUAUACAAGCCAAGUUCCAUAAUGAAAAAUUCCCACUAGUAUAUGAAAGUGAUAACAUGAGAGACUCUCUACUAUGAAUAUCAUGGUGCUACUUUGAAGCACAAGUGUGGUAAAAGGAUAGUAACAUUGUCCCUUCUCUCUUUUUCUCUCAUUUUUUUAUUUGGGCCUUUUUAUGGCCUCUUUUCUUUUUCUUUUUUUUCGUCCGGAGUCUCAUCCCGACUUGUGGGGGAAUCAUAGUCUCCAUCAUCCUUUCCUCACUGGGACAAUGCUCUAAUAAUGAUGAUCAUCACACUUUUAUUUUUCUUACAAUUCAACAAUUACAACUCGAUACUUAGAACAAAAUAUGACUCUAUAUGAAUGCCUCCGGCGGUGUACCGGGAUAUGCAAUGAAUCAAGAGUGACAUGUAUGAAAGAAUUAUGAAUGGUGGCUUUGCCACAAAUACGAUGGCAACUACAUGAUCAUGCUAAGCAAUAUGACAAUGAUGAAGCGGAACGGUGGAAAGUUGCAUGGCAAUAUAUCUCGGAAUGGCUAUGGAAAUGCCAUAAUAGGUAGGUAUGGUGGCUGUUUUGAGGAAGGUAUAUGGUGGGUGUAUGAUACCGGCGAAAGGUGCACGGUAUUAGAGAGGCUAGCAAUGGUAGAAGGGUGAGAGUGCGUAUAAUCCAUGGACUCAACAUUAGUCACAAAGAACUCAUAUACUUAUUGCAAAAAUCUACAAGUUAUCAAAGCAAAGUAUUACGCGCAUGCUCCUAGGCGGAUAGAUUGGUAGGAAAAGACCAUCGCUCGUCCCCGACCGCCACUCAUAAGGAAGGCAAUCAAAAAUUAAAUCAAGCUCCGACUUUAUCACAUAACGGUUCACCACACGUGCAUGCUACGGGAAUCACAAACUUUAACACAAGUAUUUCUCAAAUUCACAACUACUCAACUAUCACAACUUUAAUAUCACCAUCUUUAUAUCUCAAAACAAUUAUCAAGUAUCAAACUUCUCAUAGUAUUCAACACACUCAUAAGAAAAUUUUAUUAUUAAUCUUGUAUACCAAGCAUAUUAGGAUUUUAAGCAAAUUACCAUGCUUUUUAAGACUCUCAAAAUAAUCUAAGUGAAGCAUGAGAGAUCAAUAGUUUCUAUAAAACAAAUCCACCACCGUGCUCUAAAAGAUAUAAGUGAAGUACUAGAGCAAAACUACAUAACUCAAAAGAUAUAAGCGAAGCACAUAGAGUAUUCUAACAAAUUCCAAAUCAUGUAUGACUCUCUCAAAAGGUGUGUACAGCAAGGAUUAUUGUUGUAAACUAAAAAGUAAAGACUCAAAUCAUACAAGAAGCUCCAAGCAAAACACAUAUCAUGUGGUGAAUUAAAAUAUAGCUCCAAGUAAAGUUACCGAUAGAAGUAGGCGAAAGAGGGGAUGCCUUCCGGGGCAUCCCCAAGCUUUGGCUUUUAAGUGUCCUUAGAUUAUCUUGGGGGUGCCAUGGGAAUCCCCAAGCUUAGGCUCUUGCCACUCCUUGUUCCAUAAUUCAUCAAAUCUUUACCCAAAACUUGAAAACUUCACAACACAAAACUUAAAAUAGAAAAUUUCGUGAGUUCUGUUAGCAAAAGAAAAUAAAAGACCACUUCAAGGUACUGUAAUGAACUCAUUCUUUAUUUAUAUUGGUGUUAUACCUACUUUAUUCCAACUUCUCUAUGGUUUAUAAACUAUUUUACUAGCCAUAGAUUCAUCAAAAUAAGCAAACAACACACGAAAAACAGAAUCUGUCAAAAACAGAACAGUCUGUAGUAAUCUGUAGCUAGCGCAAGAUAUGGAACCCCAAAAAUUCUAAAAUAAAUUGCUGGACGUGAGGAAUUUAUCUAUUAAUAAUCUGCAAAAAUAAUUAACUAAAUAUCACUCUUCAAAUAAAAAUGGCAGCAGUUCUCGUGAGCGCUAAAGUUUCUGUUUUUUACAGCAAGUGUAACAAGACUUUCCCCAAGUCUUCACACGGUUCUACUUGGCACAAACACUAAUUAAACAAAAAAACACAACCAAAACAGAGGCUAGAUAAAUGAUUUAUUACUAAACAGGAGCAAAAAGCAAGGAAUAAAAAUAAAAUUGGGUUGUCUCCCAAUAAGCGCUAUCGUUUAACGCCCCUAGCUAGGCAUAACAAGUAAGGAUAGAUGUAGGUAUUGUCAUCUUUGGUAGGCAAUCCAUAAGUGGAUCUCAUAAUAGAUUCAUAAGGUAAUUUAAUUUUCUUUCUAGGAAAGUGUUCCAUGCCUUUCCUUAAUGGAAAUUGGAAUCUAAUAUUUCCUUCCUUCAUAUCAAUAAUUGCACCAAUCUUUCUAAGGAAAGGUCUACCAAGAAUAAUAGGACAUGAAGGAUUGCAAUCUAUGUCAAGAACAAUAAAAUCUACGGAUACAUAAUUCCUAUUUGCAACAAUAAGAACAUCAUUAAUUCUUCACAUAGGUUUCUUAAUAGUGGAAUCCGCAAGGUGCAAGUUUAGAGAGCAAUCAUCAAAAUCACUGAAACCUAACAAAUCACACGAAGUCUUUGGAAUCGUGGAAACGCUAGCACCCAAAUCACAUAAAACAUAGCAUUCAUGAUCUUUAAUUUUAAUUUUAAUAGUUGGUUCCCACUCAUCAUAAAGUUUUCUAGGGAUAGAAACUUCCAAUUCAAGUUUUUCUUCAUAAGAUUGCAUCAAGGCAUCAACAAUAUGUUUAGUAAACGCUUUAUUUUGACUAUAAGCGUGAGGAGAAUUUAGCACUGAUUGCAACAAGGAAAUACAAUCAAUCAAAGAGCAAUUUUCAUAGUUAAAUUCCUUAAAAUCCAUAAUAGUGGGUUUAGCAACAUCUAGGGUUUUAAUUUCUUCAAUCUCACUUUUAUCAAUUUUAGCAUCAAGAUUAAAAAAUUCAGAAUUCUUGGAACGCCUUCUAGGUAAAGGUGGAUCAUAUUCAGUCUCAUCAUUAUCAAGAUUCAUAUUGCAAAACAAAUAUUUAAUAAGGGACACAUCAAUAACUUUUAGAUCUUCAUCUUUAUUUUCAUAGGAACUAGAAGAACACGCUCUUAUAAAGGCAUCUUUCUUAGCACGCAUCCUAGCGGUUCUUUCUUUGCACUCAUGAAAGCAUUAAAAUUCUUUUGCGAAGUAAUAAAUUAUUUAAUAUUAGAUUCAAAAUCAGAGGGCAUCUUAUUAUAAUUUCCAUAAGAAUUGUUGUAGGAAUUACCAUAAUUAUUAGAGGGAUUACUAGGAUAAGGCCUAGGGUUGAAAUUUCCUCUAUACGCGUUGUUACCAAAAUUGUUCCUACCAACAAAAUUCACAUCCAUAGAUUCAUUAUUAUUCUCAAUCAAAAUAGACAAGGGCAUAUCAUUAGGAUCAGAAGAAACACUCUUAUUAGCAAAUAAUUUCAUAAGUUCAUCCAUCUUUCCACUCAAAACAUUAAUUUCUUCUAUCGCAUGCACCUUUUUAUUAGUAGAUCUUUCAGUAUGCCAUUGAGAAUAAUUAACCAUAAUAUUAUCUAGGAGUUUAGUAACUUCUCCUAAAGUGAUUUUCAUAAAAGUGCCUCCCGCGGCCGAAUCUAAAAGAUUUCUAGAAGCAAAAUUCAAUCCGGCAUAGAAAUUUUGUAUAAUCAUCCACAAAUUUAAACCAUGAGUAGGGUAAUUACGUAUCAUUAGUUUCAUUCUCUCCCAAGCUUGUGCAACAUGUUUAUGAUCAAGUUGCUUAAAAUUCAUAAUAUCGUUUCUAAGAGAGAUGAUCUUAGCGGGAGGAAAAUACUUAGAGAUAAAAGCAUCUUUGCACUUGUUCCAUGAAUCAAUACUAUUUUUAGGCAAAGACGAAAACCAAGCUUUAGCACGAUCUCUAAGCGAAAAAGGAAAUAGCUUCAAUUUAACAAUAUCAUUAUCCACAUCUUUCUUCUUUUGCAUAUCACACAAAUCAACGAAGCUAUUUACAUGGGUAGCGGCAUCUUCAAUAGGAAGGCCGGAAAAAGGAUCUUUCAUGACAAUAUUCAGUAAAGCAGUAUUAAUUUCACAAGAUUCAGCAUCGGUAAGAGGAGCAAUCGGAGUGCUAAUAAAAUCAUUGUUGUUGGUAUUGGUGAAGUCACACAAUUUAGUAUUAUCUUGAGCCAUCGUGACAAGCAAGCAAACUAACACACAAGCAAACAAAAAAAGCGGGCAAAAAGAGGCAAAUAGAGAAAGAGAGGGAGGAUAGAGAGAUAGAGGGCGAAUAAAACGACAAGGGUGAAGUGGGGGAGAGGAAAACGAGAGGCAAAUGGCAAAUAAUGUAAUGCGGGAGAUAAGGGUAUGUGAUGGGUACUUGGUAUGUUGACUUUUGCGUAGACCUCCCCGACAACGGCGCCAGAAAUCCUUCUUGCUACCUCUUGAGCACUGUGUUGGUUUUCCCCGAAGAGGAAGGGAUGAUGCAGCAAAGUAUCGUAAGUAUUUCUCUCAGCUUUUUAGAACCAAGGUAUCGAUCCAGUAGGAGGCUACGCGUGAAUCCCUCGUACCUGCACAAAACAAAUAAAUCCUCGCAAUCAACGCGAAUAGGGGUUGUCAAUCCCUACACGGCCACUUACGAGAGUGAGAUCUGAUAGAUAUGAUAAGAUAAUAUUUUUGGUAUUUUUGUGAUAAAGAUGCAAAGUAAAAUAAAGGCAAAGGAAAAAGCAAAGGAAAUAACUAAGUAGUAGGAGAUUAAUAUGAUAAAGAUAGACCCGGGGCCAUAGGUUUCACUAGUGGCUUCUCUCGAGACCAUAAGUAUUCUACGGUGGGUGAACAAAUUACUGUUGAGAAAUUGACAGAAUUGAGCAUAGUUAUGAGAAUAUCUAGGUAUGAUCAUGUAUAUAGGCAUCACGUCUGAGACAAGUAGACCGACUCCUGCCUGCAUCUACUACUAUUACUCCACUCAUCGACCGCUAUCCAACAUGCAUCUAGAGUAUUAAGUUAAAAACAGAGUAACGCCUUAAACAAGAUGACAUGAUGUAGAGGGAUAGACUCAUGCAAUAUUAUGAAAACCCCAUCUUGUUAUCCUCGAUGGCAACAAUACAAUACGUGCCUUACUGCCCCUACUGUCACUGGUAAAAGACACCGCAAGAUUGAACCCAAAGCUAAGCACUUCUCCCAUUGCAAGAAAGAUCAAUCUAGUAGGCCAAAUCAAACUGAUAAUUCAAAGAGACUUGCAAAGAUAACCAAUCAUACAUAAAAGAAUUCAGAGGAGAUUCAAAUAUUGUUCAUAGAUAGACUUGAUCAUAAACCCACAAUUCAUCGGUCACAACAAACACACCGCAAAAAGAAGAUUACAUCGAAUAGUUCUCCACAAGAGAGGGGGAGAACAUUGUAUUGAGAUCCAAAAAGAGAGAAUAAGCCAUCUAGCUAAUAACUAUGGACCCGCAGGUCUGAGGUAAACUACUCACACUUCAUCGGAGGGGCUAUGGUGUUGAUGUAGAAGCCCUCCGUGAUCGAUGCCCCCUCCGGUGGAGCUCCGGGACAGGCCCCAAGAUGGGAUCUCGUGGAUACAGAAAGUUGCGGCGGUGGAAUUAGGUUUUUGACUCUGUAUCUGAUCGUUUGGGGGUACGUAGGUAUAUAUAGGAGGAAGGAGUACGUCGGUGGAGCAACAGGGGGCCCACGAGGGUGGAGGGCGCGCCUGGGGGUAGGCGCGCCCCCUACCUCAGGGCCUCCUCUUUUGUGUAUUGACGUACGGUCCAAGUCUCCUGGGUCUUGUUCGUUGAGAAAAUCACAUUCCCGAAGGUUUCAUUCCGUUUGGACUCCAUUUGAUGUUCCUUUUCUUCGAAACCCUAAAACAGGCAAAAACAGCAAUUCUAGGCUGGGCCUCCAGUUAAUAGGUUAGUCCCAAAAAUAAUAUAAAAGUGGAUAAUAAAGCCCAACAAUGUCCAAAACAGUAGAUAUUAUAGCAUGGAGCAAUCAAAAAUUAUAGAUACGUUGGAGACGUAUCAUAACGCACGAGUAGUAUAGCAGUGAUAAAACUAGUCAUACGAUUUGACAAAGAGAAGGUAAACAACAACUUCAUAUAUGAACUGUAACUAAACAUAUCUAGAGCAGACAAUAUAGCAAGUUGCAUAUAUGAAACAGAGUCUAACAUAUCUAGGGCAAACACUAGAACAAGGAACUGUAGCAGGGCCUCUAAUAGAAAGAGGAAUAACGCGUACGGGACAGCAGCAGCAGAAGCGCUGGACUUGGGGUCGGUGUCCUCGCCAGCCAUGUCGUCGAGGAGGUUGUCGACGUCGGGGAAGAAGUCGUUGUUGGGGAAGUAGUCGUCGGAGUCUGGGGCGUCCGUGAUGAAGAAGUCAGUAGUCACGCGAAGCGCUCCCCAAAAACCUUAUCACUCUUCUCACGUACAUGACUCAAAGAGGUGCGGUUUCGGAGUCCUACUGUCCCGACCUGCGGUGCACGCCGCAAGCCGGGAUGGGGAAGAACAUAGCAGCAGCGCAGUGUUUAGGAACUUGUGGCGAGAGAAAGAAGAGGUUCUGGUGCGUCUCUCUGAGAGGAGCGACCUCCCUUUUAUGGGCGCAAGAGAAGGAGACGAGAGGCUGCGCUGGGAGCUGAAGAGAACGAGGGAGAUGAAACGAACAGGCAGCAGCCGAAGAGGUGCGCCGUUCGUAUUCAAUCUCCACUACAGCAAAAACAUUUCAGCUUCCGCGUGACCUUUCAUGUACCCGUCGUGCGUGGCAAAAAUUAGACAUCGGCUCGACUCAUUCCCGCAACCCGCGGCGCGGCGCGUCGUGACGAGGCGGGCAGCGGAGGAGGAGCGCGCGUGGAUGUCCCUCUUGUUCUCAUCCUCAUACAUGUGAAGAAAGAGCCUCCCUUAUAAAGAGGUCCAACUCCCUCUAAACUAGCAAUGUGGGACUAAACUUUAGUUCCACCUCUUGCCUUGCAUGAAUGGGCUGCGUGGGCCUCUAGGAUUUAUUAGGAAUUUCUGAAACUGCUAUUGGGCUAGGCCCAAAAUAGACAAAAUUACAGCAAUCCCCCACCAGAUCCCAUAGGCACACAAAAUUUGCCUUUGGUUCCAAAACACUAUUUUAUAUACCGGUACUACAGUGGAGACUGUUAAGUUGAACUUCCACCUAGAACUCUAUGCUACACUAGUAAGCAACUUGGACAGUGGACUGGGCCUUGAACUGCAAGUUUUCUGCGAAUCUAGCUUCACAUAAAGCCUUGACCUAUACGUGGCUACCGUGGGUCUUCCCCGUGGGUGCAGCUUAUGCGUCAUACUCCGAGACCUUUCAUGAGUUUACUAGAGAGAACCCUACUCUCGUAGAUUGCGACAUUUAACAACUAGACUCAUAUAGGUGCGUUCUUCAAAAGAUGUUCUGCAGGACAACAUCUCUGCUUCAAUGAGCCACUUAGAACACAUUAAGAUAUACAUCAACCUGCCAUGCAGAUUAGGAGAGUAUUGCAUCUUCAUGGAGUGGUAUUGUUGAUAGUAAGGAUACUCUCCUCUCAGUUGACCAACAGCUUGUCUUCCCCAUCUAAUUCACGGGAUCUCCGAUCACAAAGAAUAGGUUACCAGUGUGAACAACUCAUAUUGUGGGUCUCAUACCCAUCUCCCUCGAUGCAUUAUCUAUCACAUUACGUGAUAGACCCUUAGUAAAAGGAUCUGCCAGAUUCAUAGACGUUUGGAUAUAAUCCAUGCAAUAACUCCGGAGUUUCUCAUUUUCCUGACAGACUUUAACCUUCUCUGAACGUAUCUUGAUGACUUCAUGUUAUCCUUUGAGCUACUCACUUUCGUGAUCACAGUUUGAUUGUCGCAGUUCAUAAGGAUACCCGGUACAGGUUUCUCAACAACCGGCAACUCAUUCAAGAGCCGGUGAAGCCAAUCUGCUUCGGCUGUAGUUGUAUCUAGUGUUGUGAGUUCUGCUUCCAUUAUUGACCUCGUUAAGAUGGUCUUCUUGCAAGACUUCCAAGAAAUAGCGCCACCUCCAUGAGUGAAUACAUAUCCGCUCGUGGCCUUUAUCUCAUCAGCAUCUGAGAUCCAGUUUGAGUCACUAUACCAUUCAAGCACCUUUGGGUGCCCAGUGUAGUGAAUUCCAUAAUUCGCAGUGCCUUUCAAAUAACGCAAAACUCUCUCUAGAGCUUUCCAAUGCACAUCUCCUAGUUUUGAGACAAUCUGAUUCAGUUUGCUAACAACAAAAGAGAUGUCAGGUCUUAUAGCACUGGCCAAGUACAUAAGGGAGCCAAUAAUCUGAGAAUACUUCAAUUGAUCUCUAGCAAUUCUUCGGUUCUUUCGAAGUAGCACGCUAGCAUCAUAUGGUGUUGGAGAGGGCUUGCAGUCACUAUAGCCAAAGCGACUCAAGAUCUUUUCCAUAUAGUGAGAUUGAAGCAAUGUAAUCCCACCAUCAUCGUCUCUCAACAACUUGAUGUUCAAAAUGACAUCAGCCACUCCUAAAUUCUUCAUCUCAAAACAGCAAGAUAGGAAAUCCUUGACCUCCUUGAUAACAUUCAGAUUUGUUCCGAAAAUUUGUAUGUCGUCAACAUACAAGCAAAGGAUAACUCCCUCGCCCCCACCAUGGCGAUAGUACACACAUUUGUCAGCUUCAUUUACAACAAAGCCUGCAGAUGUUAAAGUUCUUUCAAACUUCUCAUGCCACUGUUUGGGUGCUUGCUUGAGUCCAUACAAAGACUUCAGCAACUUGCACACUUUUCCUUCCUGACCAUCUAGUACAAACCCAUCUGGUUGUUCCAUAUAAAUUUCCUCGUCCAACUCUCCAUUUAGGAAAGCAGUCUUAACAUCCAUUUGAUGAACGAGAAGACCAUGUGAGGCAGCUAGUGAAAGUAGAACUCGAAUAGUGGUCAGUCGAGCCGCAUGUGAGUAAGUAUCAAAGAAGUCCUCACCUUCCUUUUGGGUAUAACCCUUAGCCACGAGGCGAGCCUUGUACUUUCCAAUAGUACCAUUAGGCCUAAGCUUCUUCUUGAAUACCCAUUUGCAUCCUAUAGGUUUGCACCCAUAAGGACGAUCAGUAAUCUUCCAAGUUUCAUUCGCCAAGAUGGAAUCCAUCUCACUACGAACUGCUUCCUUCCAGUAGUCAGCAUCUUCAGAUGCAUAGGCCUCUGAAAUAGAACUGGGAGUAUCAUCUAUGAGAUACACAAGAAAAUCAUCACCAAAGGACUUUGCAGUCCUCUGUCUCUUGCUCCUAGUAGGAACUUCAUUGUUCUCCUCCACAGGAUUUUCAAAGUGUUCCAUCGAAAUGGCAGGUUCGGUAAUUGUAAUUGGUUCCUGAUUCGAUGAACUAGGCAUCUCCUGAUUAGAUGAGGUAGCCAUACCCUUCAUGGGAAAGAUAUCUUCAAAUAAAGUCGCAUCAUUUGACUCCAUGAUCGUACCGACAUGCAUGUCAGGUACCUCAGAUUUUACAACCAAGAAUCUAUAACCAAUGCUAUGAAAAGCAUAUCCCAAGAAAACACAAUCCACGGUCUUUGGUCCAAGCUUGCGCUUCUUUGGAAUUGGCACAUUGACUUUUGCCAAACAACCCCAGGUUCGUAGAUAAGAGAGUUUUAGUCUCUUCUUCUCCCAUUCCUCGAAUGGAGUUAUCUCUUUAUUCUUUGUGGGAACUCGGUUUAGGACAUGACAUGCAGUCAAUAUUGCCUCCCCCCACCAUGCCUUGGAGAGACCCGAUGUGUCUAACAUGGCGUUAAUGAAAGGGUCGAUAUGGUUGACUAGAGGGGGGGUGAAUAGACAACUAACAAUGUUUAGCUUUUCUUUACCAAAUUAAACUUUGCAUCAAAGUAGGUUGUCUAGAUGUGUAACUAGAUGAGCAACCUAUAUGAUGCAACAACAACAAGCACACGAGCAAGCAAGAGAAGUAAUACUAAUAAGCUUGCACAAGUAAAGGUACGAGAUAACCAAGAGUGGAGUCGGUGAAGACGAGGAUGUGUUACCGAAAUUCCUUCCUUUUGAGGGGAAGUACGUCUCCAUUGGAGCGGUGUGGAGGCACAAUGCUCCCCAAGAAGCCACUAGGGCCACCGUAUUCUCCUCACGCACUCACACAAUGCGAGAUGCCGUGAUUCCACUAUUGGUGCCCUUGGAGGCGGCGACCAGACCUUCACAAACAAGGUUGGGGCUCUCUCCACAACUUAAUUGGAGGCUCCCAACUAAACCACGGAGCUUCACCACAAUGGAAUGUGGCUCUGAGGUGACCUCAACCGCCUAGGGUGCUCAAACACCCAAGAGUAACAAAAUCCACACAAGAAAGUAUGGGGGAAGCAAAAAUCCUUUGGUGGACGUGUAGAUCUAGGUCUCCUCCUUCAAUCUCUAGCAAAUCAAUAAGUUUGAGUGGCUAGCAAGAGAGAUCGGGCAAGAGAGCUUGAGUAGCAUUAAUGGUGGAGUGAGAGAGGCUAAAGGUAGUUGUGGUAGGUGGAAGAAGCACCCUUAUAUAGCAACCUUAAAAAUCCAACCGUUACUGUUUUUUCAGUACUGCAGUGGUACAACCGCUCCUUGUCCCGGUACAACCGGGACUCACAGUUUACAUGCAGAACCCUACCAGGCGGUAUAACCGGGCGACCAGGCGGUAGUACCGGUUGAGGAGAACAGCCGGACCAACCGCCCAGCCACCGCUCAACCACCGCAUAGGAACAGAAGGGAGUCACCCCUGAGUGCAGUAGUCGAGCGGUACAGGGCCGGUGCAACUGCAUGGCCUUGAGCGCUCGGGCGGCUAAGUCUUGAGCGGUAGAACCGCUCCGGACACCGGUGGUACCGGUACGACCGGACCAACCGGGCCACCACCGCCCGAGUACUGCAUCAAAAUAGAAGCCUGACCGGUACUUGGGCAGUGCCUGGCCGGAACAACCGUCCUAAUCCUUCCUGAGCAUGUUGGCGGUACCACCGCCCGGAAGCAGCGGUACAACCGCUCGAUCAAAACUGGUCAGCGCCAAGACCCAGCGGUACAACCGCUCCAGAGAGCGGUACAACCGCUGGGAACCCACAGAAAGCAGUAGGAAACAAAGGGGAAGAGCUCUCUCUCACAGUUUAGGAAGGCAAGAGAGGGGUGAGGUAAGUGUAUGUGAAAUGAUGCCCCCAACACUUUCCAAUGUGGAUUCCCUCUUGAUAGUACGGGUUCCCUACGACCAAAAGAGAUAAAAAGAAGUAGAAAACACCGUCUUCGAUAUUUUUCUUUCAGAGAGAAUAGCUACCCGAAGAAGGCCUAAAUCCCGAAACCUGAAACACUUAGCACAAGAUUAGACCCACAAAGGGUUGUCAUCAUCAUCCAAAACACAAAGUAGGGAAAUGUCCUUACAGUUAACCAAAUCUGUUAGAGUACGGUUCUUUCUUUCCGCCACCCCAUUUGACUGAGGUAAAUAGGGAGGCGUCCUCUCAUGGAUUAUACCAUGUUCCGCACAAAAAGCAUCAAAUUCAUUGGAAAAAUACUCUCCACCACGGUCGGACUUAAGCCUCUUGAUUUUUCGAUCAAGUUGGUUUUCCACUUCAACUUUAUAGAUCUUGAAAAAGUUCAUAGCCUCAUCCUUAGAUUUCAGAAGAUACACACGGCAGUAUCUAGUGGAGUCGUCAAUUAACGUCAUGAAAUAUUUCUUUCCACUCUUUGUCAAAACACCAUUCAUUUCACACAGAUCCGAAUGUAUGAGCUCUAGUGGUGCAAGAUUUCUCGUUUCCGCAGUCGUGUGAGACUUACGAGGUUGCUUAGCUUGCACACAAACUUGACACUUAGAUCCCUUGCCAGUGGUGAAACUAGGGAUUAAGUUCAACUUUGCUAGUCACGACAUGCAACCAAAGUUAACAUGAAAAGACGUGAAUGUCACACAUUUGAUUCACUAUUGUUGCAAACAUGAUUAACAACUUUAUUGCAAACGUCUGACAAGGAUAAACAAAAAGAGGCCUCCUGACUCAUAGCCUUUACCAACAAAGGUUCCAUACUUGAAUAUUACAAAUUUAUUCGACUCAAAGACAAGCUUAUAGCCAUCUCUACACAGAAGAGAUCCGCUAACAAGAUUUUAAUUAACGGAGGGGACAUAAUGCAUGUUCUCCAGCAGCACGAUCUUCCCCGAAGUAAACUUCAGAUCGACCGUGCCAACACCACGAACAAAAGCACUUGAACCGUUGCCCAUCAGCACGGUUGAAGUCCCUGCGGUUUGAUAAGACGAAAACAUGGAAAUAUCACCGCAUACAUGCACAUUAGCACCCGUGUCAAUCAACCAAUCAGGAGAUUGACAUACUGAAAGAAUAGUGAGAAAUAUACCAUACCCAGCAUCCUUCAUGUCAGUGUCUCCAAUGACAACAUUAGCAAUCUUGCUGCCUUUCCCAGGAUGACACUUGUCAUAGCAAUUAGGGCAACUAGGAGCCCAAUGAUCAAGAUCCCCACACACAUGACAAACACCUUUCUUCUUGUCAUUCUUCUUCUUGAAGUUCGUGUGUUGCACAACCUUGUUCUUCCCAUCAAACUUUGCUUUACCAUCAAACUUGCCCUUGUUCUUGAACUUGUGGGGCUGGAAGUUCUUCUUCUGUACCAGAUUGGCACUAGAUCCUCCCUCAAUACCUCGAGCACGUGUGUCCUUUGCUCUCGCCUUUUCUUACACAUCAAGAGUACCAAUGUGAUCCAGGACGGAAAACUCUUGUCUCUUAUGCUUCAGUAAGGUAGCAAAGUUCCUCCACGAAGGAGGAAGCUUAGUGAUGAUACCUCCAGCAACAAACUUGUCCGGCAGCAUACAACUGAAGUGCUCAAGUUCUCUAGCAAAUGAUUGUAUCUCAUGAGCUUGCUCAACCACGGAGCGCUCUUCAGUCAUCCUAUAACCAUAGAAUUGCUCAAUGAUGUACAUCUCAGUGCCAGCAUCCGAGACCCCAAACUUGGCCUCGAGUGCAUCCCACAUAUCUUUUCCAUUAUCAAUUGACGCAUAAACAUCAACUAUGUUCUCACCAAGAACACUCAAGAGAGCAGCCUUAAAUAGAGUAUCCAUUUUCUGAAAAGCUUGUGCCUGUUGAGCAUCACACUCACCUUCAGGUUUGCCAAGAGUGGCGUCAUAGCAACUCAUGGUUUGAAACCAUAAGACUGCUCUCACGCGCCACCUCUUAUAGUGGAUACCCUCAAACAUAGAAGGUCUCAUGGAAGCAGCAAAACCACUUGGGGUAAAUUGCCUAUAAUAAGGUUUUUAGAUUGUUGGAAAUAUGAGCAAUUUACCGAAUGGUUUUAUUGACAGCAAUACUAGAUAAAGCACGACUAGUAUAGCAGUGAUAAAACUAGUCAUGUGAUUAGACAAAGAGAAGGUAAACAACAACUUCAUAUAUGAACUGUGACUAAACAUAUCUAGAGCAGACAGUAUAGCAAGUUGCAUAUAUGAAACAGAGUCUAACAUAUCUAGGGCAAACACUAGAACAAGGAACUGUAGCAGGGCCUCUAAUAGAAAGAGGAAGAACGCGUACGGGACAGCAGCAACAGAAGUGCUGUACUUGGGGUCGGUGUCCUCGCCAGCCAUGUCGUCGAGGAGGUUGUCGACGUCGGGGAAGAAGUCGUCGUUGGGGAAGUAGUCGUCGGAGUCUGGGGCGUUCGUGACGAAGAAGUCAGUAGUCACGCGAAGCGCUCCCCCAAAACCUUAUCACCCUUCUCCCGUACAUGACUUAAAGAGGUGCGGUUUCGGAGGCCUACUGUCCUGACCUGCGGUGCACGCCGCAAGCCGGGAUGGGGAAGAAUGCAGCAGCAGCGCAGUGUUCAGGAACUUGUGGCGAGAGGAAAAAGAGGUUCUGGUGCGUUGAUACGUCUCCAACGUAUCUAUAAUUUUUGAUUGCUCCAUGCUAUGUUAUCUACUGUUUUGGGCAAUAUUGGGCUUUAUUAUCCACUUUUAUAUUAUUUUUGGGACUAACCUAUUAACCGGAGGCCCAACCCAGAAUUGCUGUUUUUUGCCUAUUUCAGUGUUUCGAAGAAAAGGAAUAUCAAACGGAGUCGAAACGGAACGAAAUCAACUAGAGAAGUUAUUUUUGGAAGGAAAGCUACCGGAUGGACUUGGACCCCACGUCAGGAGCCAAGGGAGGUGCUCACGAGGGUGGCCCCCCUAGGGCGCGCCCCCUGCCUCGUGGGGCCCCCGAAGCUCCACCGACGUACUUCCUGCACCCAUAUAUAUUCACGUACCCUAAAACUUCCAGAACAGACAAUAGAUCUGGAGUUCCGCCGCCAGAAGCCUCCGUAGCCAUCGAAAGCCAAUCUAGACCUGUUCCGGCACCCUGACGGAGGGGGAAUCCUUCUCCGGUGGCCAUCUUCAUCAUCUCGGUGCUCUCCAUGACGAGGAGGGAGUAGUUCUCCCUCGGGGCUGAGGGUAUGUACCAGUAGCUAUGUGUUUGAUCUCUCUCUCUCUCUCUCGUGUUCUUGAUUUGGCACGAUCUUGAUGUAUCGCGAGCUUUGCUAUUAUAGUUGGAUCUUAUGUUUCUCCUCCCCCUCUACUCUCUUGUAAUGAAUUGAGUUUCCCCUUUGAAGUUAUCUUAUCGGAUUGAGUCUUUUAAGAUUUGAGAACACUUGAUGUAUGUCUUGCCGUGCGUAUCUAUGGUGCCAAUGGGAUACCACGUGAUUCACUUGAUGUAUGUUUUGGUGAUCAACUUGCGGGUUCCGCCCAUGAACCUAUGCAUAGGGGUUGGCACACGUUUUCGUCGUGAUUCUCCGGUAGAACUUUGGGGCACUCUAUGAGGUCCUAUGUGUUGGUCAAAUAGAUGAAUCUGAGAUUGUGUGACGCAUACGUAUAAUCAUACCCACGGAUACUUGAGGUGACAUUGGAGUAUCUAGGUGACACUAGGGUUUUGGUUGAUUUGUGUCUUAAGGUGUUAUUCUAGUACGAACUCUAGGGUUGUUUGUGACACUUAUAGGAAUAGCCCAACGGAUUGAUUGGAAAGAAUAACUUUGAGGUGGUUUCGUACCCUACCAUAAUCUCUUCGUUUGUUCUCCGCUAUUAGUGACUUUGGAGUGACUCUUUGUUGCAUGUUGAGGGAUAGUUAUGUGAUCCAAUUAUGUUAUUAUUAUUGAGGGAACUUGCACUAGCGAAAGUAUGAACCCUAGGCCUUGUUUCAACACAUUGCAAUACCGUGUACGCUCACUUUUAUCAUUAGUUACCUUGCUGUUUUUAUAUUUUUCAGAUUGCAAAAAUAUUUAUCUACUAUCCAUAUACCACUUGUAUCACCAUCUCUUCGCUGAACUAGUGCACCUAUACAAUUUACCAUUGUAUUGGGUGUGUUGGGGACACAAGAGACUCUUUGUUAUUUGGUUGCAGGGUUGCUUGAGAGAGACCAUCUUCAUCCUACGCCUCCUACGGAUUGAUAAACCUUAGGUCAUUCACUUGAGGGAAAUUUGCUACUGUCCUACAAACCUCUGCACUUGGAGGCCCAACAACGUCUACAAGAAGAAGGUUGUGUAGUAGACAUCAAGCUCUUUUCUGGCGCCGUUGCGGGGAGGUUAGCGCUUGAAGGUAUAUCUUUAGAUCUUGCAAUCGAGUCUUUUAGUUUCUUGUUUUAUCACUAGUUUAGUCUACAAAAGAAAACUAGAAAAAAUGGAAUUGAGUUUGUCUCAUACGCUUCACCUUUUUAAUAUCUUUCGUGAGUAUGAUGGAAAGGAUAAUUGUGCUCAAGUGCUAGAAGAAGAAAUCUAUAAAAUGAUUGGCACUAAAUCUUUGAAUGAUGAGCAUGAUUACAAUGUUGUUAGUAUGAAUUCCUUGAAUAUCCAUGAUGCUAAUGAUAUGCAAAGCCACAAGCUUGGGGAAGCUAUGUUUGAUGAAGAUGAUAUUUUUGUCCCCCAAGUUUUGAUGAGCAAAUUUAUUAUGAUGAAAGCAUGCCUCCUAUCUAUGAUGAUUAUUGUGAUGACACGUAUGCUUUGAAGAAUAAUAAUAACAAUGAACCUUGUCAUCUUGAUCUUAAUUUUCAAUCACAUGAUAGUUAUUUUGUUGAGUUUGCUCCCACUAUUAUUCAUGAGAAGAAUUUUGCUUAUGUGGAGAGUAGUAAAUUUUCUAUGCUUGUAUAUCAUGAAAAGAAUGCUUUAAGUGCUGGUUAUAUUGUUGAAUUCAUUCAUGAUGCUACUGAAAAUUAUUAUGAGGGUCAUAUGCUUGUAGGAAUUGCAAUAAUAUCAAGUUUCCUCUCUAUGUGCUUAAAAUCUUGAAAUUAUGCUUGUUUUACCUUCCUAUGCAAGUUGAUUCUUAUUCCCACAAGUUGUUUGCUCACAAAAUCCCUAUGCAUAGGAAGUAUGUUAGAUUUAAAUGUGCUAGUCAUAUUCUUCAUGAUGCUCUCUUUAUAUUUCAAUUCUUAUCUUUUAUGUGAGCAUCAUUGAAAUCAUCAUGCCUAGCUAGGGGCAUUAAACGAUAGCGCUUGUUGGGAGGCAACCCAAUUUUAUUUUAGUUCCUUGCUUUUUGUUCCUGUUUAGUAAUAAAUGAUUCAUCUAGCCUCUGUUUAGAUGUGGUUUUAUGCUUUUUAUUAGUGUUUGUUCCAAGUAGAACCUUUGGGAAGACUUGGGGAAAGUCUUGUUGAUCAUGCUGUAAAAAACAGAAACUUUAGCGCUCACGAGAAUUGCUGCCAUUUUUAUUUGGAGAGUUAUAUUUAGUUAAUUAUUUUUGCAGAUGAUUAAUAGAUAAAUUCCUCAGGUCCAGAAAUUUAUUUGAGAAUUUUAUGAGUUCCAGAAGUAUACGUUUGAUCCAGAUUACUACAGACUGUUCUGUUUUUGACAGAUUCUGCUUUUCAUGUGUUGUUUACUUAUUUUGAUGAAUCUAUGGCUAGUAAAAUAGUUUAUAAACCAUAGAGAAUUUGUAAUACAGUAGGUUUAACACCAAUAUAAAUUAAGAAUGAGUUCAUUACAGUACCUUGAAGUGGUGAUUUAUUUUCUUAUACUAACGGAGCUUACGACUUUUCUGUUAAGUUUUCUGUUGUGAAGUUUUCAAGUUUUGGGUAAGGAUUCGAUGGACUAUGGAAUAAGGAGUGGAAAGAGCCUAAGACUGGGGAUGCCCAAGGCACCCCAAGGUAAUAUUAAAGGACAACCAAAAGCCUAAGCUUGGGGAUGCCCCGGAAGGCAUCCCCUCUUUCGUCUUCGUUCAUCGGUAACUUUAAUUGCAGCUAUAUUUUUAUUCGCCACAUGAUAUGUGUUUUGCUUGGAGCGUCAAUUUAUUUUGUUAAGAUUUUCUUGCUGUUAUUUAGAACAAUGUUUUGCAUCUUUUAUUUCAAUAAAAGUGGCAUUGAUAGCCUUUACUAUGCCUAUGUUACAAGUAUACAUGUUGCUGUUUGAAAAAAGAAAGUUUACCGUUGUUGCAAUAAUUCCCUAGAAAAUUCAGAGUGUGAUAAAAUGUUGAAACCUUUUGCAUAUUAAGAUCUGAUAAAUUUACUACAGUGGGAAUUUUCUUUCAUAAUUUUUGGAGCUAGGGAAGUGUGGAUCUUGCAGCAUUCUUUACAGAAUAUCCUGCUUAGGCAGAUUGCUGUUAUGUUUGCAUUGUUUGCAUAUGUUUGCUUCUUUAAUGAUUCUAUUUGAGGAUAGGACUAUUAAAUAUGAAGAGGCAUUUAGUAGCAAUGUUGAAUAAUAAUUUUAGUGAUUUGCUACAGUAGAGUAUGAUAAGGUUUUGGCAAUGGUUUAUACUAACUUAUCUCACGAGUCCUUGUCGAGUUUUGUGUGGAUGAAGCUUUUGAGAUUUAGGGAGACCAUGAUAUGAGAGGAAUUAAGGAGACACAAAAUCUCAAGCUUGGGGAUGCCCAAGUCAUCCCAAGAUAAUAUUUCAAGAAGUCUCAAGCGUCUAACCGGGGCAUCCCACCUUUCUUCUUCAAUAACUAUCGGUUAGUUUCGGUUGAUCCUAAGUUUUUGCUUCUUCACAUGAUGUUGACCAUUCUUAGAAUGUCAUUUUUUUGCUUCGCUUGCUGUUUGAAUAAAAUACCAAGAUCUGAAAUUCUUAAAUGUUAGAGAGUCUUCACAUAGUUGCAUAAUUAUUUAACUACUCAUUGACCUUCACUUAUAUCUCUCGGAGUAGUUUGUUGUUGCUCUAGUGCUUCACUUAUAUCUUUUAGAGCAUGGUGGUAGUUUUAUUUUGAAGAAAUAGAUGAACUCUCAUGCUUUAAUUAGAUUAUUUUGAGAGUCUUAAAUAGCAUGGUAAUUUGCUUAAAAUCCUAAUGUGCUAGGUAUUCAAGAAUAAUAAAACUUUCUUAUGAGUGCAUUGAAUACUAAGAGAAGUUUGAUGCUUAAUGACUGUUUUGAGAUAUGGAGGUAAUAAUAUCAAAGUCGUGCUAGUUGAGUGGUUGUGAAAUUGAGAAAUACUUGCGUUGAAGUUUGCAAGUCCCGUAGCAUGCACGUAUGGUAAACGUUGUGUAACAAAUUUGAAACAUGAGGUGUUAUUUGAUUGUCUUCCUUAUGAGUGGCGGUCGGGGACGAGCGAUGGUCUUUUCCUACCAAUCUAUCCCCCUAGGAGCAUGCGCGUAGUGCCGAGGUUUUUGAUGACUUGUAGAUUUUUGCAAUAAGUAUGUGAGUUCUUUAUGACUAAUGUUGAGUCCAUGGAUUAUACGCACUCUCACCCUACCAUCCUUGCUAGCCUCGUCGGUACCGUGCAUUGCCCUUUCUCAGAUUGAGAGUUGGUGCAAACUUCGCCGGUGCAUCCAAACCCCAUGAUAUGAUAUGCUCUUUCACACAUAAACCUCCUUGUAUCUUCCUCAAAACAGCCACCAUACCUACCUAUUAUGGCAUUUCCAUAGCCAUUCCGAGAUAUAUUGCAAUGCAACUUUCCACCAUUUCGUUUAUCAUGACACAUUCAUCAUUGUCAUAUUGCUUAGCAUGAUCAUGUAGUUCACAUAGUAUUUGUGGCAAAGCCACCGUUCAUAAUUCUUUCAUACAUGUCACUCUUGAUUCAUUGCAUAUCCCGGUACACCGCCGGAGGCAUUCAUAUAGAGUCAUCUUUGUUCUAGUAUCGAAUUGUAAUCAUUGAGUUGUAAAUAAAUAGAAGUGUGAUGAUCAUCAUUAUUAGAGCAUUGUCCCAAGUGAGGGAUAAAAAAAAGGCCAUAAAAAAGAGAAGGCCCAAAAAAAGAGAAAGGUCAUAAAAAAAAGAAGGCCCCAAAAAAUGAGAGAAAAAGAGAGAAGGGACAAUGCUACUAUCCUUUUACCACACUUGUGCUCCAAAGUAGCACCAUAAUCUUCAUGAUAGAGAGUCUCUUGUUUUGUCACUUUCAUAUACUAGUGGGAAAAUUUUCAUUAUAGAACUUGGCUUGUAUAUUCCAACAAUGGGCCUCCUCAAGUGCCCUAGGUCUUCGUGAGCAAGCAAGUUGGAUGCACACCCACUUAGUUUCUUUUUGAGCUUUCAUACAUUUAUAGCUCUAGUGCAUCCGUUGCAUGGCAAUUCCUACUCCUUGCAUUAACAUCAAUCGAUGGGCAUCUCCAUAGCCCAUUGAUUAGCCUCGUUGAUGUGAGACUUUCUCCUUUUUGUCUUCUCCACAUAACCCCCCUCAUUAUAUUCUAUUCCACCCAUAGUGCUAUGUCCAUGGCUCGCGCUCAUAUAUUGCGUGAAAGUUUAUAGGUUUGAGAUUACUAAAGUAUGAAACAAUUGCUUGGCUUGUCAUCGGGGUUGUGCAUGAUGAGAGCAUUCUUGUAUGACGAAAAUGGAGCAUGACUAAACUAUAUGAUUUUGUAGGGAUGAACUUUCUUUGGCCAUGUUAUUUUGAGAAGACAUAAUUGCUUAGUUAGUAUGCUUGAAGUAUUAUCAUUUUUAUGUCAAUAUGAACUUUUGUCUUGAAUCUUUCGGAUCUGAAUAUUCAUACCACAAUUAAGAAGAAUUGCAUUGAAAUUAUGCCAAGUAGCACUCCGCAUCAAAAAUUCUGUUUUUAUUAUUUACCUACUCGAGGACGAGCAGGAAUUAAGCUUGGGGAUGCUUGACACGUCUCCAAUGUAUCUAUAAUUUUUGAUUGCUUCAUGCUAUGUUAUCUACUGUUUUGGGCAAUAUUGGGCUUUAUUAUCCACUUUUAUAUUAUUUUGGGGACUAACCUAUUAACCGGAGGCCCAGCCCAGAAUUGCUGUUUUUUGCCUAUUUCAGUGUUUCGAAGAAAAUGAAUAUCAAACGGAGUCGAAACGGAACGAAAUCAACUGGAGAAAUUAUUUUUGGAAGGUCCUAUGUGUUGGUCGAAUAGAUGAAUCUGAGAUUGUGUGACGCAUAUCGUAUAAUCAUACCCAUGGAUACUUGAGGUGACAUUGGAGUAUCUAGGUGACAUUAGGAUUUUGGUUGAUUUGUGUCUUAAGGUGUUAUUCUAGUAUGAACUCUAGGGCUGUUUGUGACACUUAUAGGAAGAGCCCAACGGAUUGAUUGGAAAGAAUAACUUUGAGGUGGUUUCGUACCCUACCAUAAUCUCUUCGUUUGUUCUCCGCUAUUAGUGACUUUGGAGUGACUCUGUGUUGCAUGUUGAGGGAUAGUUAUGUGAUCCAAUUAUGUUAUUAUUGUUGAGGGAACUUGCACUAGCGAAAGUAUGAACCCCAGGCCUUGUUUCAACACAUUGCAAUACCGUUUACGCUCACUUUUAUCAUUAGUUACCUUGCUGUUUUUAUAUUUUCAGAUUACAAAAACAUUUAUCUACUAUCUAUAUACCACUUGUAUCACCAUCUCUUCGCCGAACCAAUGCACCUAUACAAUUUACCAUUAUAUUGGGUGUGCUGGGGACACAAGAGACUCUUUGUUAUUUGGUUGCAGGGUUGCUUGAGAGAGACCAUCUUCAUCCUACGCCUCCUACGGAUUGAUAAAUCUUAGGUCAUCCACUUGAGGGAAAUUUGCUACUGUCCUACAAACCUAUGCACUUGGAGGCCCAACAACGUCUCUAAGAAGAAGGUUGUGUAGUAGACAUCAUGCGUCUCUCUGAGAGGAGCGACCUCCCUUUUAUAGGCGCAAAAGAAGGAGACAAGAGGCUGCGCUGGGAGCUGAAGAGAACGAGGGAGGUGAAACGGACAGGCAGCAGGCGAAGAGGUGCGCCGUCCGUAUUCAAUCUCCACUACAGCAAAAAUGUUUCAGCUUCCGCGUGACCUUUCAUAUACCCGUCAUCCGUGGCAAAAAUUAGACAUCGGUUCGGCUCAUUCCCGCAACUCGCAGCGCAGCGCGGCACGGCGUGACGAGGCGGGCGGCGGCGGAGGAGCACGCGUGGAUGUCCCUCUUGUUCUCAUCCUCAUGCAUGUGGAGAAAGAGUCUCCUUUACAAAUAGGUCCAACUCACUCUAAACUAGCAAUGUGGGACUAAACUUUAGUUCCACCUCUUGCCUUGCACGAAUGGGCCGCGUGGGCCUCUAGAAUUUAUUAGGAAUUUCUGAAACUGCUAUUGGGCUAGGCCCAAAAUAGACAAAAUUCCAGCAAUAUAAAUGUGAUGCUUUGUUCUAAAUCAUGAUAUUUAGGUGCCGCCCGAACUUCUUCGGUGGCUUGCAAUUAGUUAUUGCUUCACAAUAAAGGACUAGCGAGAUACCACGACAAGAUUCCAAUCAAUCAACAAGUUAUAAUAAAACCAUUUCAAAGGACAAUACACACACAAAACAACUCGAAAAGAAUAAAACUACACCAAAACUUAUAUAAGCCAUCUUCUAGCUUGAAAAAUAAUAUGAACAAAUAGUAAGUAGUAAGUGAUAGGGAUACCUGCAAACAUUCUAGCCAUACAAGAGCUUGAAGACCACAACAACCAAUCACUGCUAACAACGAGAUCCAAUAGCCGUUAAAAGAACAUCUGUUGGGGCAUCACCCAUGCUGGCGUAGACUUGCAAUCCUUUAUUAUCAGUCUAGAGGUUGUAGAAAACAGACCUUAUCGUACAACAAAAUAAAUGAAGAGGUCAAAGCGACGGUGUCAAUAAAUAUUCCAGUCGCUUCCUUCAUAGAUGCACUAGCCGCCAAGAUCUAAAGAGCCAACAAAUCUGGCAUCACACCUGCUUUGCAACACCUAUCCUCACAUGUAGUGACAGAACGUGAAGGGUAACUGGGGGGGGAUUUAUUUGUUUAAAAAAUUGCAUGAUUAGGAGUAGUAUGAGUUGAUCGUUGUUCUUAUCCAACACUUCCUAUGAAGCACUCUAUGUUUUUUUCCAACCAGAAGCACUUUUAGCUCACGCGUGGAAUUAUGACGACCAAGUUGUUUUCAUCCAUAAUUUCAAAGAAAACCGAGACUGAAAAAAAGUAUUGAACGAGAGCACACAAAAUGAGUACUUCAGAGUCUUGCAUUGUUUUUUUAUGCGGGCUGGAGUCUUGCAUUGUUGAUCAAGCCACCGACACGACCGACCCACUGGCAGCGACAUCUAGCUCGACGGUCACCGCCUGCGGCUUGGGGAUGUCUGCAGACGCAUUGAUCUCUUUGCAGAAUGAGCAAAGGAGACGAUCGGUGCAACGAUGACACGGUAGCCGGCGCAUGCUAGGUUGAGAUAGAACUCACUACUGAUGCCGAAGAAGGGUCCGUCACGAGCACCACCAAGCCCUGCAGCCUGCUCCAUGGUGUUGCCCUGGCCAUCUCCGAUCAUGACAAGGACAUCAAUCGUCGGGUUGGAACUUCCUACGGCGCGCUGCAUGUUACAGACGUGGCCACGACCACUACCUGACUACCAUUCUACUUCUAAAUCGAUCAUUUUCUCUUUACUCAGCCAAAAUAUUUAGUAGUAUAAUUUAUUUCUCACUUUUGGAAGGGGGGGGGGGGGCGUGGCCCCAUUUGGCCUCAAUGAGGCUCUGCCAGUGCUCACAUACCCUUUGUUAAUGUCGAGUCAAACGUCAUCGAAGUUAGGAGAGACUGAAGAGACCUUAUUCCAAGCCCAGAUUGCCGGUUCAACCUCGUGGAUGCCGUUAGAAAAACAAAAACCAAAUGAAACCAUUGCCUAUAAAAAAUAAUGAAUAAGACGCUCCCUGCUCCUUCGACCGUCGAUGGAUGGAAGACGAGAGGGGAACCCAGACGGUGACAUGGAAGCACCCUAGGUGGCAGCGGCUGGGGAGAGAUUUCCAUGUUGCGUGGACUUGGAAGUUGGAAUGCAGGAUCCUUUGCUUGGAGCCUUCAAGUUUUUCUCUCCCUGGAAAACGAAAAAAUCAAAAUACGCUUUCACGUUCGUAUUACGCAAGCUCGUGGAGAGGACGUUCGCCCAGAGCAAGCGCAUACAAGAAAACUGAAAUCGGUUAUGCCGCUAAAACCCUAGUAGCCCUCCACGAAUGGUCGCCGCCCCCCUCCGCGCACCACCAUGCUGCUCCGCCGCCUCCUCCACCCCUCCCACCACCUCCGGCGCGGCCUCCAGACCCUGACCACGACCACCAACCCCGCCGCCGCCGCCGCCGCGCCCUCGAUCCCGCAUCCUCUCUCCGCCCCUCUCCCAUUUCGCCGCCUCCCCGCCCGCCUCCUCUCGCCGCGGCUCCUCUCCACCUCUGGCGGCGACGACGACACCAGAAGACCGUGGGCCUUCACGCAGGACUCCGGAGAUCCGGACCCCUUCGCCGAUGUAGACCCCGCCGCCGCCGUCCCCGGCGAAGCGCCGCUAGGGUCGAGCGCCGUCGCCGAGGACCCGUGGUCGAAGGACUUCCGCGCGGAGGACAGCGACAAGGCCGACGUGUUCGAGGAGAUCUACAAGGAUGCGGCCGCGGCAGCGCCUUCCGCGAGGAAGGCGGCCCCGGCCGAGCCGUGGACGUGGGAUUUGGAGGGUGAGAAAGACGAUCCGUUCGCCGCGAGAAAGGAUGCCGCCGCGGCAGCGCGGCCUACCGCGAGAAAGGCGGCCCCGGCCGAGCCGUGGACGUGGGAUAUGGAGGAUGAGAAAGACGAUCCGUUCGCCGCGGCUGUGCUUGAUGUGGGGGUUGAGGGGAUCGCGGAUGAGGGUGCCCAGAUCGAGGAGCUUGUUGAUGGGAAAGAAGAAGAUGCGGAGCGUCAGCGGCAGGAGGACAAGGCGAGGGAGCAGCAGCUGAUGGAAACUCUCAAAGGUGAUCUAGAAAUGCAUAUUAUGUAUAUGUGCAGCUUGAUUUCUCAGUACUCUGGUAACUAAAUUGGCGUGCAUGUGGUUGUGUUUAUUGGUGCCGGAUUAGUUAAGUGACUCUGCAUAUGGUUGUGUUUAUGCGUACAGAAUUACUGAAGUAAUUGACUGAAUGCCGAAGUUUAAGAUAUAGGUUCACAAUCAUAAUCAUACUAGGUUCCUGCGCUUGAACUGAAAGCUGCAAAUACCUUUUUACUGAUAUUCGCUUGUCUAGAGAUUGGCCCGUGGACUGUGAACUUGUCGAGGCAUGCAACAUUUGCAUAUGGUUUAGGAUGUCAUUGGUUUCAAUGCUUCUUAAGGUUAACUUGGGAUCAAGUUUGAUGUAAAUGUUUGUCCCCAGUAGUGCUUGCCUGAUAAGGCCAUUCAUUCAUGUUGUAAACUGCCCAUAUGAAUGGCUAGUUUAUUUGCCACUUUUAAUGAUCAUGAAUUCAUAGUCUUUAUUGUGCCUCUGCAUGAGCGAUUGGAGUAUAUAGUAUGAUCUUAGCUGCUGCGUGUGAUGAUUUUACAAAUUUUUGUUCUGGUUUGAGUAAGACUGUAUGUGGGGAUCAACAGUGCAUGCUGAUAUAAGUAACACAGUAAUAACUAGGGGUGCAAGCGGCAUCCUGCUUGUCCCAGAAACUUAUCAAUUAGCUAUAUCACUUGCCUAAAACUAACACUACAUCUGUAUAAUGGUAUUGUCGGCUAGCCUGCCCCGUAUGCAUCCCUAGUGAUAAUAAAAGUUUUCCCUGGUUGCAGGUCCGGAUCGUGCAUUUGGGGAUCUCAUUUCUGCCUCUGGGAUUACAGAGGAUAUGAUUGACAGUUUGAUCCUCUUGAAGGAUGCCAGGGGAGUACCAGGAUUGCCUCCUCUAAGUGAAAUACAAGAUAGAGCUAUCCAGAAAAUGAAUGCAACAUCAAGCAGGGCUGAAGUAGAACGCCAAAUGCAAGAGGAAAUUGCUAAGGCACGUGUGAGACAAGUUGAUGAGAAAGGAAGGGCUUAUGGUACAGGUAAAAGGAAGUGCAGCAUUGCCCGUGUUUGGAUUCAGCCUGGUGAUGGCAAGUUUGUUGUCAACGACAAGCAGUUUGAUGCUUACUUCCCAAUUCUGGACCAUCGAGCUGAUCUUCUUCGGCCAUUUACUGUGACCAAGACGUUGGGGCUUUGGGAUGUAGCUUGUACUGUGAAAGGUGGUGGUGUUUCAGGUCAGUUUCAAAAGUUCAGUCAUCUCUCUACAGGCUAGGCAUAUCCAUUGUCAUGUCAAUAUGAAAGUGGUAUUUUUACAAUCAUGUUAGAGGUAGAUAUGCUGGAUAUUAUAUGGAUGCACUCAGCACAUGGUAGCAUAUGCAUGUACUAGUCCAUGAGUUUUAUGUACUGAAAUGGGUCAGAUACUCGUGCAUAAACUAAAAUAUGCAUGCUUGUGCAAAAUUGCAUCUUCACAUGACACAUCAAUAUGCUAUGACUGGCAUGUAUUCAACAAUUUAUAACAAUCUAUGUCUUUCAGUUAUGAUUGGGUUCCGGGAGGAGAAGUAUUAUAUCUGUACAAUCAUGGAGUAUAUAUUUCUUCAUGCUGUUUCCAAGGAUUCUAGAACCUGAAAUAUGCUUGCAAGUGUAGGUUUAGAAGAACCAGUGUUUAACAAUUCAUCCUGGUGCUGGAUCCCUUGCACCUUUCAACUAUUGCACUUUCUGUUGCACCCAAACCUCUUCCAAAUCGAGUUCCUUUUCUCUAACUGCAGGUCAAGUUGGAGCUGUGCGCCUAGGGAUCAGCAGAGCCUUACAGAACUGGGAACCAGGACUACGCCCAUAUCUCAAAGCAGGUAAAAGCAGAAUUAGAAACCAGGACUGCAUUGCGCUAUGCUCAGCGAGCAUCAUAGCAAUUGCUGUCCUUUCUCACACGCACAUGGUCUUCCAAAGUUACUAAUGUCGUCAUUUUUGCUCCAAACAGCUGGAUAUUUAACCAGAGAUUCGCGUGUGGUCGAAAGGAAGAAGCCUGGAAAGGCAAAGGCAAGGAAGAGCUUCCAAUGGGUCAAGCGUUAACAGGCUAGUUCUGCCUCUUUUUUGGCACAAAAUUGUCAAUCAGAGACGGUAUAUCUGACCCUGUUCUCGUAAUCGUAAUGCUUCAGGUCUACGUGCAAAAUUACCGUGCCACUGGUGGCAGGUCCUCUGCUCGUUGUUGUGGAUUUUCUAGUGAGCAGAGAUCUGUAUUCGCAUUGGAUGUGCUGUCACUUCGGCGGAAGGCCCGUCCAAGCUUUGUACUCGGAUAUUCCAGUCUGCAUCGGUCAUGGAGUUCCUGUGACACCAGAUGUUCUAUUUUUUGUAUGCUGAUACAGCAAAUUGAUCCGGGGAAAAUCUCAUUUUGACCAAAACAAGAUGCAGAAGAUACUUAGCCAUGAGCUGUUGCCUCUGAAUAAAACCGGGCCGCCAAAAAUGUUCAGUUCACAAUGUUCCUUUUCUCCUUUCAGUUUCAUAGGAGGAUGGCAUGGAUGUAUCCAUGCCAAAUGAACGCAGCCGUUUUAUUGAUAGCUAGUUCCAUACUGUAUUUCUCCUUGGGGUUUUUCCGUGUGUGCAGCACAACGAAGAUUAAAUUUUAUUUUUACAAAGAAGAUUGUUCGAAUUUCUUGCUUCUAUUUACCGUAAGCUACUUAAUCUCCUGGCUUUUGCGGACCACAAUAAAAUCGGAUUG